GGUGCUGAGGUGUAGUGGUUAUCACGUUAGUCUUAUACACAAAAGGUCCCAGUUCGAGCGUGGGCAGCAUCA
Molecule: transfer RNA, 72 nt
Filed under: Nelumbo nucifera (sacred lotus)
Lineage: Eukaryota; Viridiplantae; Streptophyta; Magnoliopsida; Proteales; Nelumbonaceae
Rfam family: tRNA
About the family: Transfer RNA (tRNA) molecules are approximately 80 nucleotides in length. Their secondary structure includes four short double-helical elements and three loops (D, anti-codon, and T loops). Further hydrogen bonds mediate the characteristic L-shaped molecular structure. tRNAs have two regions of fundamental functional importance: the anti-codon, which is responsible for specific mRNA codon recognition, and the 3' end, to which the tRNAs corresponding amino acid is attached (by aminoacyl-tRNA synthetases). tRNAs cope with the degeneracy of the genetic code in two manners: having more than one tRNA (with a specific anti-codon) for a particular amino acid; and 'wobble' base-pairing, i.e. permitting non-standard base-pairing at the 3rd anti-codon position.
Source: Rfam by way of RNAcentral